CCCCUGACAGAUGCCAGCGAGGGCUGCACCGUGGUUGGCGGGGGCGUCCAGCCCUACCUAUAGAAGGGCCGAGCACAGCAAUGCAAGUAGGUGUCACAAUUGCUUUGAAAAAAAAAAAAAAAAAAAAAAAAGUCAGGAGGCCAUUCUCUCUUCCCAAGCUCAUAAAUUUACAGAUACAACAAACAGAUGUCUAAAUCCAGACCACAUCUUGUGCCACUGUAAAAGAGAAGGAUCCACACAGCACUCUCAACCCACAGACUCUAACAAUUGGAACAGACUAUUGUUGGACAUACGUGAAUUUGUUGGCAUAGUAUAGUUUCCCCUAUGUAUGUGUGACUUUUGAAAACAAUCUGUUUUUCUCAGGAUAUCUUGAAUUGAUCACUUCAUUGCCACGGUAUAUAUUCUAUAGGUGUGAUAGGAUUUACUGUAAAGUUUAUUUGUAAAAGAUGUACACAGUAGAAAUAAAACGUGAUUGAAGAACUUGAGUACUUCAGAAGUGGAAACAAAUUUGAUAUUUAUUUUUAUAAUGAUAUAAAGCUUCUAGUAAUUUAUGCAAGUUGUAUUGCAAUGGAAUCUAAACUUUUUGUAAAUAAAUUCUGCCUGGUUUUUAUUUGAACAUUGCUGGUUAUACAAUCUUUGUUGGUUGUUUAACACGAAUUCUUUACUAAUUUAUAUCUUAAAUUGUAAAUAAAAACAGACUAGUCUACAAUAAUAUGGUGUUUGGGGCUUAUUUUUCCUAGAAGAAUGAUUUGGGGUGGAGCUCUAGUGAUAACCUCCAGGUGAUCUGACCUCACCUUUUUAAUGAAAAGCUGUGUGAAAUAAACUCUCCUUUCUGAUAAUUAAAAAAAAAAAAAAAAAAAAAAUCAGAUGGAAGAGAAGUAUACAAUUGGGAGAAACAUGUGCUCUAGAUGAUUUCUAUAUAUGUAUUGAAAAAAAAAAAAGAUGUUUGUGCCCUGAGUAUGCUAAUUACUUGUUAGUGUAAAUUUUUAAAACUUGGCAAAAUAAAAUGAUCUGACACCCUA
This is a long non-coding RNA of Mandrillus leucophaeus (drill), 1022 nucleotides long. RefSeq lists it as uncharacterized. Lineage: Eukaryota; Metazoa; Chordata; Mammalia; Primates; Cercopithecidae. The record is from RefSeq and is a predicted model, not a curated record. The transcript is spliced from 2 exons.